GGGAAUCUAGCUAACCAACCCUCAAUUCUGGCAGUGUUGUCUAGUAAUGAAUUUUCUUGCGUUAUAGCAACACCCUGUUUUGCAAAUUCCAGGCCAGCUUCACGAAAGGACUUCUGUACUUCCAGCAAACCAUUUCUAGUCUCAGGGGUACCUCCACUCUUCGAAAUUACAAUUACAAGAGUUGAAGACAGCUCAGGGCCAAGCUGAGCAAUCUGAUGAUCAAUUCCAGCUGGAUCUGUAUUAUCAAUGAAUCUUAUCUUGAGAGGAGGAUUAUCAGGCGC
Molecule: unclassified non-coding RNA, 281 nt
Filed under: Hevea brasiliensis (rubber tree)
Lineage: Eukaryota; Viridiplantae; Streptophyta; Magnoliopsida; Malpighiales; Euphorbiaceae
Source: RNAcentral